Acanthosepion pharaonis is the source of this 113-nucleotide non-coding RNA. Lineage: Eukaryota; Metazoa; Mollusca; Cephalopoda; Sepiida; Sepiidae. The record is from the annotation of a GenBank genome assembly.
UACAGCCAUAUCACAUUGAAAAACCAGUUCUUGUACGAUCACCGAGGUUAAGCAACUUCGAGCCUGGUUAGUACCUAGAUCAGUGACCACUUGAGAAUACCAGGUGAUGUAAG